CAAGACCAGCGUAUUUAUGUUUCAGAUUUAACCAAAUAUAACUGUGUAAAGAGACAUCUCUGGUGUGUUCCCAUAGUAUUAAUCUUCACUACAUAACACAGGCGUGUGGAAAUGGAACAGCUCCAACAGAGAAAUGAGUUGCCGAAGUCCCAAGUCACAUCCCUAAAAAGAGCAUUAUGGGAAGGAGAAGUUGCUACUACGCGACCUCCACAAAUUCAGAGCCCAUGACUACUGGCUUUUAAGUCCUUCGUGGAAUCUCUGAGGAAGCACUCCUCACAGACAGUAGCCAAGAAGCGAUUCUGAGAUUUG
RNAcentral lists this long non-coding RNA (309 nucleotides) under Chinchilla lanigera (long-tailed chinchilla). Its description in RNAcentral is "lncRNA (ENSCLAG00000023446.1)". Lineage: Eukaryota; Metazoa; Chordata; Mammalia; Rodentia; Chinchillidae. The record is from RNAcentral.